CCGGAACGACCGCUUCGGCGUGGUCCGUCUCGUGGCGACGUGGAGGCGAUACACGGACCGCUUGGAUUCUCCAGGGUGACGAGGAUCAUCCCCCUGUAAUGGAGCAAAUAACGGAAUCUAAGGGAAGCUAGCUCCGAGCAUUAUCAUCUUUUCUCCAAACGCACGGUCACGUCACGGAACGCUGUCGGGAAGAAUCCGGAAACUAGGACGACUUCAAAAAUCCGAGGGCAGAGGAAGAGGAGAGAGGCCCGUCCCGGCCAGAGACGGAACGGGAAAGCGCACCGGCCCCCCCAGAGGACUCCGCUUCGUCCGAGCGAGAAGGCGGCCCCUCCCCGGAUCCUUUGGGAGGUCCCCCCGUGGACCCGGGGUGACGUCCGGUUUGUGGUGUUUUGGAGCCGGCACAUUCUGUACAAACGGCGGAAGAGAGCGGAACCGAGCGACCGGGUCCCGACUGCCGUCCGGCCGACCCUGACAAAGCCUCCCGCCCCCCUGGCGUUCCCCCGGCUCUGAGGAUGGUGACCGUGCGGCCCCGGGAGACAUUGGAUUCAAGGGAAGGUGUUGGUUUUGGGGAAAAGU
This is a long non-coding RNA of Tachyglossus aculeatus (Australian echidna), 576 nucleotides long. RefSeq lists it as uncharacterized. The record is from RefSeq and is a predicted model, not a curated record. Lineage: Eukaryota; Metazoa; Chordata; Mammalia; Monotremata; Tachyglossidae. The transcript has 3 exons.